AAACAGAUGCAGUGCAUGUGAUACUUUCAUUUUCUCAAAAUGUGAUGGAGAAAUAGUGGCGUUAGUUAGCUUUGGUGCUAAUUUUAAAUCAUGAUGGUUCUCAAACUCUACUAGAUCUUUUACAGGUGUAAUGGACACAAAACUACAGUUCAAGUUGUUUGCUUUAACAACAUCAUCAGGUGAGGAACAUCAGCGAGAAAAUAUAACCAUUUGGUUGGACUUUGAGGAUGUACUACUUUGCUAACAGUAUUGCAGUGUCUUCCAGUCAUGAGGCCAAAGCUUCUCCACAGUGCUCGGUUUGCAGAUCCCAUGUCACUAGUCACAGCUAUGACAUUUCCGUCAGUGGAGUUUCCUGUGAAAUGGUAUGCUACUGUCUGUUUCCACCGUGAUGACAGUCCUCCCAACAUAAACACAAGAGCAUGAGUGGCACUACCACAAUGACCAGGCAAAGUCACAUUCCCAAGCAAUUGUCCACUACUUGCAUCAUACUCAAUACUAGGUGUAAUGGACAUUUCAUCUAAUGUGAGACAGCAGACUCUUUCCUCUUCACACAAAUUAUUUACCUUCACUGCUAAGUAUUCAAAAACUUGGCUGAGUAUGCCGGGCUCAAAUAGAACUGUUUCCAUCCGUCGUUGAAGAGUUCGAAGAGAUGGUAAAGGGUACUGCUGUUUUAAAAAUGACCACCGAAUUCCUCGCAUUCCUCGGGACAAUGCUAGCAGCUGAUCUUCAGCAAACAGUUUUUUAAUCUUUGAUUCCUGACUUGCCAUUUGCUUAGCAAGUGCAUUAUUUCUUCUUGUAAUUUUGUGCAGUUUGGCUCUUGAAACUUGUAAUUUGGCUUUCAAUUUUACGACUUCUCUAGCUGUUGUAGAGGAAUCAAUUGAAAGGGUAUUAGAUUCAUCCACAUCUAUAUCUAGAUCUGCCACACUGGUUUCAUA
Molecule: long non-coding RNA, 935 nt
Organism: Corticium candelabrum
Lineage: Eukaryota; Metazoa; Porifera; Homoscleromorpha; Homosclerophorida; Plakinidae
Exons: 4
Source: RefSeq, a predicted model, not a curated record